ACUCCGUGCCAGCAGCCGCGGUAAUACGGAGGGUGCGAGCGUUAAUCGGAAUUACUGGGCGUAAAGCGCAUGCAGGUGGUUUGUUAAGUCAGAUGUGAAAGCCCGGGGCUCAACCUCGGAAUUGCAUUUGAAACUGGCAGACUAGAGUACUGUAGAGGGGGGUAGAAUUUCAGGUGUAGCGGUGAAAUGCGUAGAGAUCUGAAGGAAUACCGGUGGCGAAGGCGGCCCCCUGGACAGAUACUGACACUCAGAUGCGAAAGCGUGGGGAGCAAACAGGAUUAGAUACCCUGGUAGUCCACGCCGUAAACGAUGUCUACUUGGAGGUUGUGGCCUUGAGCCGUGGCUUUCGGAGCUAACGCGUUAAGUAGACCGCCUGGGGAGUACGGUCGCAAGAUUAAAACUCAAAUGAAUUGACGGGGGCCCGCACAAGCGGUGGAGCAUGUGGUUUAAUUCGAUGCAACGCGAAGAACCUUACCUACUCUUGACAUCCAGAGAACUUUCCAGAGAUGGAUUGGUGCCUUCGGGAACUCUGAGACAGGUGCUGCAUGGCUGUCGUCAGCUCGUGUUGUGAAAUGUUGGGUUAAGUCCCGCAACGAGCGCAACCCUUAUCCUUGUUUGCCAGCGAGUAAUGUCGGGAACUCCAGGGAGACUGCCGGUGAUAAACCGGAGGAAGGUGGGGACGACGUCAAGUCAUCAUGGCCCUUACGAGUAGGGCUACACACGUGCUACAAUGGCGCAUACAGAGGGCAGCCAACUUGCGAAAGUGAGCGAAUCCCAAAAAGUGCGUCGUAGUCCGGAUUGGAGUCUGCAACUCGACUCCAUGAAGUCGGAAUCGCUAGUAAUCGUGGAUCAGAAUGCCACGGUGAAUACGUUCCCGGGCCUUGUACACACCGCCCGUCACACCAUGGGAGUGGGCUGCAAAAGAAGUAGGUAGUUUAACCUUCGGGGGGACGCUUACCACUUUGUGGUUCAUGACUGGGGUGAAGUCGUAACAAGGUAGCGCUAGGGGAACCUGGCGCUGGA
Molecule: ribosomal RNA, 1023 nt
Filed under: Vibrio parahaemolyticus
Lineage: Bacteria; Pseudomonadati; Pseudomonadota; Gammaproteobacteria; Vibrionales; Vibrionaceae
Description: bacterial SSU rRNA
Rfam family: Bacterial small subunit ribosomal RNA
Source: RNAcentral